GCUUCCGUAGUAUAGUGGUAAAACAUCGCUCUUCCAUCUUUGAAUCUAAGCGAAGUCACGAGUUCAAUUCUCGUCGGUUGCA
Non-coding RNA from Peltaster fructicola, 82 nucleotides. Lineage: Eukaryota; Fungi; Ascomycota; Dothideomycetes. The record is from the annotation of a GenBank genome assembly.